This 432-nucleotide ribosomal RNA is filed under the name uncultured bacterium. Its description in RNAcentral is "partial 16S ribosomal RNA". It matches the Rfam family "Bacterial small subunit ribosomal RNA", at positions 29 to 507 of the family's 1533-position model. The record is from RNAcentral.
ACGAACGCUGGCGGCAUGCCUAACACAUGCCAGUCGAACGAGACCUUCGGGUCUAGUGGCGCACGGGUGCGUAACGCGUGGGAACCUGCCCUUAGGUUCGGAAUAACUCCCCGAAAGGGGUGCUAAUACCGGAUAAUGUCUUCGGACCAAAGAUUUAUCGCCUUUGGAUGGGCCCGCGUUGGAUUAGCUAGUUGGUAGGGUAAAAGCCUACCAAGGCGACGAUCCAUAGCUGGUCUGAGAGGAUGAUCAGCCACACUGGGACUGAGACACGGCCCAGACUCCUACGGGAGGCAGCAGUGGGGAAUAUUGGACAAUGGGCGAAUGCCUGAUCCAGCAAUGCCGCGUGAGUGAUGAAGGCCUUAGGGUUGUAAAGCUCUUUUACCCGGGAUGAUAAUGACAGUACCGGGAGAAUAAGCUCCGGCUAACUCCGUG